CUCUUUCAGCAAGACUAUGGCUAUCAGUUGCUUGACCCCUUCUAGCUCUGACAUGAAUAUAAUCUUUAGGCGCCUCAGGAGGCUUAGCAUCGUCCUUAUUGUCGCCUUUACUAUCGCACUUCUCUACUCCGUUUUUACUACUCCCAGCUACAUCUUGCUUGCUUCUCUUCCCACCUUUAGAUCCACCAUUCUCUCCUGAAACCU
Molecule: small RNA, 204 nt
Filed under: Arabidopsis thaliana (thale cress)
Lineage: Eukaryota; Viridiplantae; Streptophyta; Magnoliopsida; Brassicales; Brassicaceae
Description: ATSL146460
Source: RNAcentral